GGGUGAACAUGUUUUUGUAGAUAUGUCAACCCCUAUUAUACUAAUUUAAAAAACAGAAAUCGUUAAUGACCUCUAGAAAGAAGGAUUAUGAUUUGGUCUACAUCUCUGUGGGGCUAGGGCGGGUGGGAAAGUUGGUGACGAUGAAUACAUUAGGUUUAUUGAUAAAUUAUCAACUCGAUUAUUAAUCUUUCCACUUAAGUAAUUAUUUUCAGGAGAUAUUUAAAUAUCUAAUUAAGAUGUUACUUAAACGAAUACAAAGUAUGUAAGUUCAUACUUUUUUUCUUUUCCGAAACUGAUAUGUAAGUUCAUACUUCUGUUCAGAGGUACGCUUAACUAAAAAUCUUAUUAUCAAUUAGUUUUCAUAAUCACUAGGACAAUAUCGCAGUUAUGAUAUAUUAGAUUUUUAACUAUAUAAUGUUUUAACAUUCUUGAAAUUUUUUAAAACAAAAGUGAAAUCAGAAAACUUUUAAACAAUGGCUAAGCCGAGGACAGUCACAUAGUAUGAA
This 506-nucleotide long non-coding RNA is filed under the name Brassica napus (rape). Its description in RNAcentral is "long non-coding RNA (BNAP_LNC017727)". Lineage: Eukaryota; Viridiplantae; Streptophyta; Magnoliopsida; Brassicales; Brassicaceae. The record is from RNAcentral.